GAAAGUAAAGAUCCGCCUAGCGCGGAUUUAGGGAAGAUGGGCGGAACGCCUAUAAAGCGACCGCUCCGCACUCCCGGGGCGUCUCGUUCUCAUUACGAGAAGAGGCGCACCAAGAGCGUACACGCUGGGACCCGAAAGAUGGUGAACUAUGCCUGGUCAGGACGAAGUCAGGGGAAACCCUGAUGGAGGUCCGUAGCGAUUCUGACGUGCAAAUCGAUCGUCGGAACUGGGUAUAGGGGCGAAAGACUAAUCGAACCAUCUAGUAGCUGGUUCCCUCCGAAGUUUCCCUCAGGAUAGCUGGCGCUCGUCUGUGACGAGUUUCAUCCGGUAAAGCGAAUGAUUAGAGGCAUUGGGGUCAAACGACCUCAACCUAUUCUCAAACUUUAAAUGGGUGAGAUCUCCGGCUUGCUCGAACUAAUGAAGCUGCGAGAAUCGAAUCAGAGUGCCAAGUGGGCCAUUUUUGGUAAGCAGAACUGGCGCUGUGGGAUGAACCAAACGUCGAGUUAAAGCGCCUAAAUCGACGCUUAUGGGAUACCAUGAAAGGCGU
This 547-nucleotide ribosomal RNA is filed under the name Acanthoscelides obvelatus. Its description in RNAcentral is "eukaryotic LSU rRNA". It matches the Rfam family "Eukaryotic large subunit ribosomal RNA", at positions 721 to 1224 of the family's 3401-position model. The record is from RNAcentral. Lineage: Eukaryota; Metazoa; Arthropoda; Insecta; Coleoptera; Chrysomelidae.